GACGAACCGUGCGAACGUUGUUCGGAAUCACUGGGCUUAAAGGGCGCGUAGGCGGGUGUGCAAGUCUGUGGUGAAAGCCUCCAGCUUAACUGGAGAAGUGCCGUGGAUACUGCACAUCUUGAGGAGGGUAGGGGCAUCUGGAACGGUCGGUGGAGCGGUGAAAUGCGUUGAUAUCGACCGGAACUCCGGUGGCGAAGGCGAGGUGCUGGACCCUUUCUGACGCUGAGGCGCGAAAGCCAGGGGAGCAAACGGG
Molecule: ribosomal RNA, 253 nt
Filed under: uncultured bacterium
Lineage: Bacteria
Also listed under: 2 other names
Description: partial 16S ribosomal RNA
Rfam family: Bacterial small subunit ribosomal RNA
Source: RNAcentral